AGCAAGAUUUAUGUGUCAGUGUUUUCAAAUAAUCUGACUUUCACCACUGUUUUUUUUUUUUCCAACCCAGGUCUGGCAAGGAAAAGGAUUGUGAAUGUGAAGGGGAGCUGUUGGUAUUGUGCCAUUGUAGCAAGAAUAUCCAACCACUUGGAUACAGUCAACUGUUACAGCAACACCAAGAAAACCGAAGCAGGAGAAGGGUGGAGCAAUUACCAUCCAAAAGGUGAGGAAGAAAGUGGGACCUAGAGCCGCUUCCUGUGCAGUGAUCCUCAGCUGUGGUAGAAGAGUCACAUGCCAUUCGAAAUAUCCAGGUGAGUCAUGAAAACAACUUCGCACGAAAGUCUAAGAACCAUA
This 354-nucleotide long non-coding RNA is filed under the name Mus spicilegus (steppe mouse). RNAcentral's name for it is "lncRNA (ENSMSIG00000023714.1)". The record is from RNAcentral. Lineage: Eukaryota; Metazoa; Chordata; Mammalia; Rodentia; Muridae.